AGACUCCAAGGGUUUUUUAGCGGCCGGUAGCAACACGGAGCCGGCUCCCCCUUUUCCAGCCUUCCUCCCCAUCUCCCAUUCCCCGUCCCCCACGACCUAUACCAGAGGUCCUUAGGCCUCCACGUCUCCCCUUCUGCCUAGUAGCCCAAGGUUUCCACCCAUCUGCCAGGGGGAUGGCGUCCACUCCGAUGGGGAAUGAGGGGGAGAAGAAGAGCAGCUGGCCGUCUCAAGCUGCACCCUCCUUGAGAGGAGGUCCGGCUUCGUUGUCUCUCUCUGAGGAAUACCUGUCCCGGAUCAGUGCAGAACUGACGGAGGAGGCUUUGUGCACUGCUUGUUGCCACUUGAACCCUGUGCCCAUCAAAAAAAAACAGACACAAGACCAAGCGACUCAGAUAUCCAAACGUGCAUUCUUCACCAAGACCUGAGGCACAGAGACCCGGUGAGUGAGGCUUCAAGGGAGAUGCUCUUUGUUCUGGGAGAGAGA
Mandrillus leucophaeus (drill) is the source of this 484-nucleotide long non-coding RNA. RefSeq lists it as uncharacterized. The record is from RefSeq and is a predicted model, not a curated record. The transcript has 4 exons. Lineage: Eukaryota; Metazoa; Chordata; Mammalia; Primates; Cercopithecidae.